Non-coding RNA from Pteropus alecto (black flying fox), 103 nucleotides. NCBI's taxonomy places the organism in Eukaryota, Metazoa, Chordata, Mammalia, Chiroptera, Pteropodidae. The record is from Rfam.
GUGCUCACCUCAGCAGCACAUAUACUAAAAUUGGAACAAUGCAGAGAUUAGCAUGGCUUCUGCACAGAAUGAUACACAAAUCUGUCAAGCAUUGCAAUUUUUU